UCAGGGCGAGGAAGCCAGCAGGAUAUCGACUUAAGGACAAGGGUCAGGAACGCCAGGAGGCGAAGACGCAGGAUUGUCAGGAUGACCAGCGCCUGGAGGCGUUUUAAAAGGAAAUGGAACCGUAUCACGGACGGUAUUAGCCAAGGGAUAAACAGGGUUUGUUGUUGGCAAACACGGAAAGUCUGACCCGCUAAGGGUUGUGAGUCAGGAAAAAAGGCGACAGAUUGCUCUGUCGCCUUUUUUCUUUGCUUGCUU
This 255-nucleotide small RNA is filed under the name Enterobacter sp. WP_7_1. RNAcentral also lists the same sequence under 1 other name. The record is from RNAcentral. Lineage: Bacteria; Pseudomonadati; Pseudomonadota; Gammaproteobacteria; Enterobacterales; Enterobacteriaceae.